AUCAAUUUAAAAUUCAAUUCAAAAUAUAUGGUACUUUCCAAUCAACAAGCAUGCAGAUCUAAUCUAAUCAGAAUUUAAAUUUCAUUCAUAAAAUGAUUUCUUUCAAAAUAACAUAUUCAUUUCGACAGUCAUAAACUAAAUCAAAAUGCCAUUGUACAACUCCUAAUGAUAGGGUAUCAAAAUACCAGCACACUAUCCUCACAAACAAGAUGUCAAAAUAUCAGUGCACAAUCUCCACU
Molecule: long non-coding RNA, 239 nt
Filed under: Elaeis guineensis (African oil palm)
Lineage: Eukaryota; Viridiplantae; Streptophyta; Magnoliopsida; Arecales; Arecaceae
Description: long non-coding RNA (EGUI_LNC008716)
Source: RNAcentral